UACGUAGGUGGCAAGCGUUGUCCGGAUUUACUGGGUGUAAAGGGCGUGUAGCCGGGCUGACAAGUCAGAUGUGAAAUCCGGGGGCUCAACCCCCGAACUGCAUUUGAAACUGUUGGUCUUGAGUAUCGGAGAGGCAGGCGGAAUUCCUAGUGUAGCGGUGAAAUGCGUAGAUAUUAGGAGGAACACCAGUGGCGAAGGCGGCCUGCUGGACGACAACUGACGGUGAGGCGCGAAAGCGUGGGUAGCUAACAGG
Molecule: ribosomal RNA, 253 nt
Filed under: uncultured bacterium
Lineage: Bacteria
Description: partial 16S ribosomal RNA
Rfam family: Bacterial small subunit ribosomal RNA
Source: RNAcentral